Molecule: ribosomal RNA, 427 nt
Filed under: uncultured prokaryote
Description: bacterial SSU rRNA
Rfam family: Bacterial small subunit ribosomal RNA
Source: RNAcentral
CUAAGAAUAUUCCGCAAUGGACGAAAGUCUGACGGAGCGACGCCGCGUGGAUGAAGAAGGCCGAAAGGUUGUAAAGUUCUUUUGCUGGGGAAGAAUAAGUGUGGGAGGGAAUGCCCGCACGAUGACAUGAACCGGUGAAUAAGCCCCGGCCAACUACGUGCCAGCAGCCGCGGUAACACGUAGGGCGCGAGCGUUGUUCGGAAUUACUGGGCGUAAAGGGCAUGUAGGCGGUCUGGUAAGCCUGGCGUGAAAGACUGCAGCUUAACUGCAGGGGUGCGCUGGGAACUGCUGAGCUUGAGUGACGGAGAGGGAGCUGGAAUUCCUGGUGUAGGGGUGAAAUCUGUAGAUAUCAGGAGGAACACCGAUGGCGAAGGCAAGCUCCUGGCCAAUUACUGACGCUGAGGUGCGAAAGUGUGGGGAUCAAACA